RNAcentral lists this ribosomal RNA (253 nucleotides) under uncultured bacterium. RNAcentral's name for it is "partial 16S ribosomal RNA". It matches the Rfam family "Bacterial small subunit ribosomal RNA", at positions 524 to 776 of the family's 1533-position model. The record is from RNAcentral.
UACGGAGGGUGCGAGCGUUGUCCGGAAUCAUUGGGCGUAAAGCGCACGUAGGCGGGUCAUCAAGUCGGAUGUGAAAUCCCUCGGCUUAACCGAGGACGUGCAUUCGAAACUGAUGGUCUUGAGUACGAAAGAGGAUCGCGGAAUUCCCGGUGUAGAGGUGAAAUUCGUAGAUAUCGGGAGGAACACCAGUGGCGAAGGCGGCGAUCUGGGUCGAUACUGACGCUGAGGUGCGAAGGCGUGGGGAGCAAACAGG